This 424-nucleotide ribosomal RNA is filed under the name uncultured prokaryote. Its description in RNAcentral is "bacterial SSU rRNA". It matches the Rfam family "Bacterial small subunit ribosomal RNA", at positions 355 to 796 of the family's 1533-position model. The record is from RNAcentral.
UGGGGAAUAUUGGACAAUGCGGGAAACCGUGAUCCAGCCAUGCCGCGUGAGUGAUGAAGGCCUUAGGGUUGUAAAGCUCUUUUACCAGGGAUGAUAAUGACAGUACCUGGAGAAUAAGCUCCGGGUAAGACCGUGCCAGCAGCCGCGGUAAUACGGCGGGAGCAAGCGUUGUUCGGAAUUACUGGGCGUAAAGCGCGCGUAGGCGCCUAUUCAAGUCAGGGGUGAAAUCCCGGGGCUCAACCGCGGAACUGCCCUUGAAACUAGGUAGCUAGAAUACUGGAGAGGUGAGUGGAAUUCCGAGUGUAGAGGUGAAAUUCGUAGAUAUUCGGAAGAACACCAGUGGCGAAGGCGACUCACUGGACAGUUAUUGACGCUGAGGUGCGAAAGCGUGGGGAGCAAACAGGAUUAGAUACCCCCGUAGUCC